This 497-nucleotide ribosomal RNA is filed under the name uncultured bacterium. RNAcentral's name for it is "partial 16S ribosomal RNA". It matches the Rfam family "Bacterial small subunit ribosomal RNA", at positions 28 to 507 of the family's 1533-position model. The record is from RNAcentral.
GAUGAACGCUGGCGGCGUGCCUAAUACAUGCAAGUCGAGCGAACAGACGAGGAGCUUGCUCCUCUGACGUUAGCGGCGGACGGGUGAGUAACACGUGGAUAACCUACCUAUAAGACUGGGAUAACUUCGGGAAACCGGAGCUAAUACCGGAUAAUAUAUUGAACCGCAUGGUUCAAUAGUGAAAGACGGUUUUGCUGUCACUUAUAGAUGGAUCCGCGCCGCAUUAGCUAGUUGGUAAGGUAACGGCUUACCAAGGCAACGAUGCGUAGCCGACCUGAGAGGGUGAUCGGCCACACUGGAACUGAGACACGGUCCAGACUCCUACGGGAGGCAGCAGUAGGGAAUCUUCCGCAAUGGGCGAAAGCUUGACGGAGCAACGCCGCGUGAGUGAUGAAGGUCUUCGGAUCGUAAAACUCUGUUAUUAGGGAAGAACCAAUGUGUAAGUAACUAUGCACGUCUUGACGGUACCUAAUCAGAAAGCCACGGCUAACUACGUG